This 929-nucleotide long non-coding RNA is filed under the name Capra hircus (goat). RNAcentral's name for it is "lncRNA (ENSCHIG00000008092.1)". Lineage: Eukaryota; Metazoa; Chordata; Mammalia; Artiodactyla; Bovidae. The record is from RNAcentral.
CUUUUACAGAAAAGUGAGGCUCAAUGAGGUUACAUUUCCUAGGUCACAGGGUGAGUGUGGAUGAUCAGAUUCAGACCAGGUGGUCAGGUUCCAUGAUCUGCACCCCAUCGCCCGACCCACCUCACUGUGUGACACUUUCUGAGGACCAUCCAACGCCUGAGUGCUGAGGCUCAGCGAGUGUGUGCUGGGCAAAACCAUGAGAUUGCGGGGGGCCCAGGCAGUUCACAGUCGUUUGAGUCCCCACAGGCUUUGCUGUGGGAGCUGGAGACCUGGGGCUGGCUCUGGGAGAGGACGCCUGUCCUCUACUGUCUGCUCCGUGAAGGUGGCUGUGCAGGCAACUCUGUCAGAAUAGAACCAGGUGUGCUUUAUGGAGUCACUGGUACUGCUGAUGGCCAAGAAACAGCUGUUCCCCCCGGCAGCCCAGGGGGCCAGGGAGCAGAGGACUGCAAGCAGCAGAGGGUCAUUAAAGGAACUGCGCUGGCUCUGGGCAGGAGGGCUGUGCUGAUGCUGACGCCAUGGCUCAGAGAAUCAACCCAUGGGUGACACAUGGAAGACUUCCCCAGUCUCCUGCAGAACAGGAUUUCGCCCGUCAUGACCACAGGAGUGGGGACGGGAAGAACAGAGUGAAGGAAGAAAGACCAAGACAGAGAUGGGACAUUAGUUCUCUGACGAGGGAUUGAACUCACUCUCCCGGCAUUGGAAGCAUGGAGUUUUAACCACUGGACUGCCUGGCAAGUCCCCAAGAAAGAGAAACAGAAGCAUAAUACUUGUUUUUUAAAAUAAUGACGCCCCCUCCGAAUAAUAAUAAUGAAACUCAUUUAUAUUUAAGAAUAAAUGUCAUAAGCUAAAUAAUCAUUAUUCAGACACAUCCUAACUAAUAAUGUAUAUCAGCUUUUGUAGUUACGCUGUAUUCAGUGAAUAAUUAAUAA